CGAGGGGGCCGCAGUGAAAAGGCCCAAGCGACUGUUUAGCAAAAACACAGGUCUGUGCGAAGCCGUAAGGCGAAGUAUACGGGCUGACGCCUGCCCGGUGCUGGAAGGUUAAGGGGAGCGGUUAGGAGCAAUCCGAAGCUGUGAACCGAAGCCCCAGUAAACGGCGGCCGUAACUAUAACGGUCCUAAGGUAGCGAAAUUCCUUGUCAGGUAAAUUCUGACCCGCACGAAUGGCGUAACGACUUGGGCGCUGUCUCAACGAGAGAUCCGGUGAAAUUUUAAUACCUGUGAAGAUGCAGGUUACCCGCGACAAGACGGAAAGACCCCAUGGAGCUUUACUGCAGCUUGAUAUUGGAUUUGGGUACGAUCUGUACAGGAUAGGUGGGAGCCUAAGAAGCCUGAGCGCCAGCUUAGGUGGAGGCGCCGUUGGGAUACCACCCUGAUCGUAUCUAGGUUCUAACCUGGUACCGUGAUCCGGUGCGGGGACAGUGUCAGG
This 495-nucleotide ribosomal RNA is filed under the name Acinetobacter baumannii. RNAcentral describes it as "partial 23S ribosomal RNA". It matches the Rfam family "Bacterial large subunit ribosomal RNA", at positions 1769 to 2261 of the family's 2925-position model. The record is from RNAcentral. Lineage: Bacteria; Pseudomonadati; Pseudomonadota; Gammaproteobacteria; Moraxellales; Moraxellaceae.